CUGGGAAGUCAUUCAUUACCUGCUGCAACAUCAAGCUCUAAAUUUCAAGUUGGACUUUAGAAAGAGUAAAACCUCUUGUGAAAACAUCAGAGAACUUCUGCCGGUGUUAGACAGAAUCCAGCUGAAACGGUUGAGCCCCAGCUUUACUCUGUCCAUCAUUAUGGAGAUUUACGAGACUCGCUUUCCUCAGUAUGUGUCCAGUCUGAUGAGUUCAGCAGGAAAUGACAUCAACCUGAAUGCCAGAGUGUUGGACUCUGUUCACUGCGCUGCCCUGCGCUUCACUCUAGAGCACUGCAACACUGUCAAACUCAAUCUGCUCUGGACCUCCAUACCAGAGGAGCAGCUAGAGAGCUUUCUGCCUUUACUCAGCAGAGUCAAACAACUCAGGUUUACUGAUAUAACAGCACUGAUAUCAUAUUAAACAUGACUGUUCUGUUGUGUAUGUUUGUUAACAGUAUCUGUGUGUGUUAGUGUUGACAGGCUGCUGUUGCUGAAGCUGCUUCAUUGCUGCAGUUCCUCUGAUCUCCAGCAGGAGGCCGCAGAUGUUCUUCUCGCUGCUCUUCACAACACGCUGGACUUCUCCUGCUGCUCUGCUCUGGAUUUAACAGACACACAGGAAAACCAAGAGCAUUUGAAACUAACUGAAAAAGACUGUAGAAUAAUCUCAUCUGUGCUUCAGAAAACUCAAAGCAUUGUGAAGUUGAGCUUACAGGACUGUGAGCUCUCUGAUGAGGCCCUGAAACAACUUUGGCCAAUCCUGCCUCAAGUGCAGCUGAACUGUAGUAAAGCUCUGCUGCUGCAGUUUCUGGCUUGUAUUAGUAAAGAUGGAUCUCAGAGAGGCUCUUUGAGGAGCGCUGAGGCUCUUUCACAGGCUUUGGGAGGAGAGAUGGACCUCAGUCACACUCAGAUGGACCCGAGAGUUUGUGAACAGCUGGCGCUGUUUCUGGAAUAUUCUGAAGGACUGACAGAACUGGAUCUCAGUCACUGCAAACUCACUGAUCUCUGCAUGGAGCCGCUGCUGCCACAUCUGCACAAAACCCAGACUCUGGAUCUGAGUCACAAUACUAUCACAGAUGAAUCAGCAAAGAGAGUCCACAGUGUCGUCUGCACUCACAGCAAUAUUCAGACUGUACGACUCUUCGGAAACAAAAUCAGUGAUAGAAAGCAGUUCAUCAGAGACAAGCGAUUUGAAAUAUGGUGAAGAUCCUGGGCCAGAAACGUAUUGAUUUAACAUUAAGAGGGUAUUUUGUAUAAGGCUUGAUUCAUGAUGAAACAAACUGACAGUUACUUUGCAAAGCACUAAACUGUGUUCUGUGUAGUAGUUUAUUUUUAUGAUUAAUUUAGAAUAAUAGCUUUAUAUCUUUAAUGCAGCUUUGGUUAAUUUGAACCAGAUUUAUAUAAAUGAAAUGUUUAUUAUAUUACAAAGCUAUGAUGAUGUAUAUUUUGCAAUGUGUUAGGCAAGAGUUAUGGUUUGGGGAUGUAGUGCUACUAGGUGUUGAUCUGUCUUCACUGGCUACCCUUCACCGCUCACAUCAAGUUCAAGACCGCCACAGGCUGCUCACCCUCUUACAAAUACACCUCCACUGCUGCUGUUGGUGGGUGAGCAACACCUUGUGCUUCUAUAACACUGGCACAGUCACUUUCCCAAACAUUCAUGUUCACCGGUCCUUGCUGGUGGAAUGAUCUUCCCAAUCUUACCCGGACAGCCGAAUACUGUAUUCAAGAAACGGAGGUUCAAGAUUUUUUUUUUUUUUUUUUUUUCAGUGAGCACUUAACUGUGGAUGUUGACUGGAAAAAAUAUUUCUAUGCUUUAUAUUACUGUUAUUACCGCCACAGGAUGAAUAUCUUUGCUAAACUCCUGAUUUUUUAAAAUGUUUUUAUUUGCUUUGGUUAAAAGCAACAGCUAAAUGAAUUUAUAUUCCAGUAAUCGGUCUCUUUUAAUGCACGUAAUCGAGCUGUAAUUAAGCUGUGGGUGUUAGCAUGGUUCUGUUUUAUUAUUACUAUUAUUAUUAUGGUUAUGGUUUUCAUACUGUACAUGCACAUUUACAACAAUAAACCUUGUUUAUGUCUUUAUACUGUAUAAGGUUUUCAUGACAUGAUGUUGUGAAGCAAUUUUACACUGACUUUAACCAGCACUAAUUCAAAAAGUGUAGUUAUAUCAUAGUAAGUCAGACUGAGUUUUGAGAAAGACACAACUAUGAUUAUUCAAUAAACGCUUAAUGUUUGACUAACGUUACC
Long non-coding RNA from Sinocyclocheilus grahami, 2238 nucleotides. NCBI's taxonomy places the organism in Eukaryota, Metazoa, Chordata, Actinopteri, Cypriniformes, Cyprinidae. The record is from Ensembl.